GUGGGGAAUAUUGCACAAUGGAGGAAACUCUGAUGCAGCAACGCCGCGUGAGUGAAGAAGGUUUUCGGAUCGUAAAGCUCUGUCUUCUGGGACGAUAAUGACGGUACCAGAGGAGGAAGCCACGGCUAACUACGUGCCAGCAGCCGCGGUAAUACGUAGGUGGCAAGCGUUGUCCGGAUUUACUGGGCGUAAAGGAUGCGUAGGCGGAUAUUUAAGUGAGAUGUGAAAUACCCAGGCUUAACCUGGGAACUGCAUUUCAAACUGGAUAUCUGGAGUGCAGGAGAGGUAAGUGGAAUUCCUAGUGUAGCGGUGAAAUGCGUAGAGAUUAGGAAGAACACCAGUGGCGAAGGCGACUUACUGGACUGUAACUGACGCUGAGGCAUGAAAGCGUGGGGAGCAAACAGGAUUAGAAACCCCAGUAGUCC
This 425-nucleotide ribosomal RNA is filed under the name uncultured bacterium. Its description in RNAcentral is "bacterial SSU rRNA". It matches the Rfam family "Bacterial small subunit ribosomal RNA", at positions 354 to 796 of the family's 1533-position model. The record is from RNAcentral.